This is a long non-coding RNA of Lolium rigidum, 692 nucleotides long. RefSeq lists it as uncharacterized. NCBI's taxonomy places the organism in Eukaryota, Viridiplantae, Streptophyta, Magnoliopsida, Poales, Poaceae. The transcript has 5 exons. The record is from RefSeq and is a predicted model, not a curated record.
UUACUAGUUUUAUAUAGUUCUCUAUUUCGCGUACUAGAAGUGCCUAAUCUUAUAAUUUAUUCACACAGAUUGACCCUUCAGAAAGGCUGGAUCCUGAAGUUGAAGAUGUUCUUAUUGACAUUGCAGAAGAUUUUAUUGAAUCUGUUGGGACAUUUGCCUGUUCUUUAGCAAAGCAUCGAAAGUCAAGCACUUUGGAAGCAAAAGAUGUACUCCUUCAUGCAGAGAGAAGCUGGAAUAUCACCUUGCCAGGCUUCACUGGGGAUGAGAUAAAACUAUACAAGAAGCCGCAUGUCAAUGAUAUUCACAGGGAGAGACUUACUCUGAUCAAGAAGUCCAUGGCGAGUGAAGGUAACAAAAAGAGCUCUGCUGGGGAAGCUGCAGCCAGCCAGAAAAAUCAGGCUCCAAAGCCACCUGCCACAAGUUCUCCGUGAAGGAAACCACCUUGAAGUAGGACCACAAAUGUAACAUGUAUUCGUAAAGAUGGAGCAGUAUUUGUUCUGUCAAAAACCUGCUAAUUUGGUUGGGUGUCAGUAGUGCUUUUCUACCGCGGAUUUUGUUCAGAAAUAGCUGGGGCAAGAAGCCUUACUGCCUCAGCUACUCGGUCCAUGCUCUGUAUAUGUAUAUGCCCAUGGAUGCUGGCCAUGGAGUAUUUUUACAGUACUAUUGAUCUCAAUCUAAGGUUUAUUAGCAUA